CCUACGGGGGGCUGCAGUGGGGAAUAUUGGACAAUGGGGGGAACCCUGAUCCAGCCGUGCCGCGUGUGUGAAGAAGGCCCUCGGGUUGUAAAGCACUUUCAGUGAGGAAGAACGCCUGGUGGUUAAUACCCAUCAGGAAAGACAUCACUCACAGAAGAAGCACCGGCUAACUCCGUGCCAGCAGCCGCGGUAAUACGGAGGGUGCGAGCGUUAAUCGGAAUUACUGGGCGUAAAGCGCGCGUAGGUGGCUUGAUAAGCCGGUUGUGAAAGCCCCGGGCUCAACCUGGGAACGGCAUCCGGAACUGUCAAGCUAGAGUGCAGGAGAGGAAGGUAGAAUUCCCGGUGUAGCGGUGAAAUGCGUAGAGAUCGGGAGGAAUACCAGUGGCGAAGGCGGCCUUCUGGACUGACACUGACACUGAGGUGCGAAAGCGUGGGUAGCAAACAGGAUUAGAUACCCCUGUAGUC
Molecule: ribosomal RNA, 465 nt
Filed under: Vreelandella stevensii
Lineage: Bacteria; Pseudomonadati; Pseudomonadota; Gammaproteobacteria; Oceanospirillales; Halomonadaceae
Description: partial 16S ribosomal RNA
Rfam family: Bacterial small subunit ribosomal RNA
Source: RNAcentral